Molecule: ribosomal RNA, 404 nt
Filed under: Brucella melitensis
Lineage: Bacteria; Pseudomonadati; Pseudomonadota; Alphaproteobacteria; Hyphomicrobiales; Brucellaceae
Also listed under: 1 other name
Description: partial 16S ribosomal RNA
Rfam family: Bacterial small subunit ribosomal RNA
Source: RNAcentral
UGGGGAAUAUUGGACAAUGGGCGCAAGCCUGAUCCAGCCAUGCCGCGUGAGUGAUGAAGGCCCUAGGGUUGUAAAGCUCUUUCACCGGUGAAGAUAAUGACGGUAACCGGAGAAGAAGCCCCGGCUAACUUCGUGCCAGCAGCCGCAGUAAUACGAAGGGGGCUAGCGUUGUUCGGAUUUACUGGGCGUAAAGCGCACGUAGGCGGACUUUUAAGUCAGGGGUGAAAUCCCGGGGCUCAACCCCGGAACUGCCUUUGAUACUGGAAGUCUUGAGUAUGGUAGAGGUGAGUGGAAUUCCGAGUGUAGAGGUGAAAUUCGUAGAUAUUCGGAGGAACACCAGUGGCGAAGGCGGCUCACUGGACCAUUACUGACGCUGAGGUGCGAAAGCGUGGGGAGCAAACAGG